AGUGAACGCUGGCGGUAGGCCUAACACAUGCAAGUCGAACGGCAGCACAGGAGAGCUUGCUCUCUGGGUGGCGAGUGGCGGACGGGUGAGGAAUACAUCGGAAUCUACUCUGUCGUGGGGGAUAACGUAGGGAAACUUACGCUAAUACCGCAUACGACCUACGGGUGAAAGCAGGGGACCUUCGGGCCUUGCGCGAUUGAAUGAGCCGAUGUCGGAUUAGCUAGUUGGCGGGGUAAAGGCCCACCAAGGCGACGAUCCGUAGCUGGUCUGAGAGGAUGAUCAGCCACACUGGAAGUGAGACACGGUCCAGACUCCUACGGGAGGCAGCAGUGGGGAAUAUUGGACAAUGGGCGCAAGCCUGCUCCAGCCAUACCGCGUGGGUGAAGAAGGCCUUCGGGUUGCAAAGCCCUUUUGUUGGGAAAGAAAUCCAGCUGGCUAAUACCCGGUUGGGAUGACGGUACCCAAAGAAUAAGCACCGGCUAACUUCGUGCCAGCCGCCGCCGUAA
This 506-nucleotide ribosomal RNA is filed under the name uncultured bacterium. RNAcentral describes it as "partial 16S ribosomal RNA". It matches the Rfam family "Bacterial small subunit ribosomal RNA", at positions 29 to 523 of the family's 1533-position model. The record is from RNAcentral.